ACUCCCAGCUCCCUCUUCCGAACGGUGUGUGUCGGGAUAAUCCUGCAGACAGGGUAAGAUCGAUAUCCUACCCAGGAGGAAGUCUUGUCCAGAUACCACUCUCUUCCGAAAGCCAAUUCCGCCUCAGGAUGCUGCUACUUUCUGCAUACCUGAGCAUGCCCACAAGAGCUGCAAAAUUUGAAUACUCAUGUUUCGUCAGUAACCAGUGUCAGUCAUGACUAUUUUUUUAUUUUUUUUCUACUGAACACAGUUGGUAAUGAAACCUGUUUCUAGUACCGUGUCAACCGACGACCUGAGUGGAAUUAAGUUCGUUCGGAAAUGUAAAUCCUUGUCUUACUUAGUCAGGCUGCAUGUGCUUUUGCUUGCAGCCGAACUGAGUUUCGAAAUUUUGGUCUGGAUUUCGUUAUGGCGACGAUUACGAGGCCAUGUUGUAUGUACUUUUAGAUUCACUUGAAUCACACGUUCGACUUCACUGAUCUUUGUGUGGGCAUGUACUCGUUCACUAAAGCCAAAAUCCUGUGUGUGAAAUUCAGGCGAACACACAUGAUUGUACCGCGCAUUCAGCC
RNAcentral lists this long non-coding RNA (566 nucleotides) under Physcomitrium patens. Its description in RNAcentral is "long non-coding RNA (PPAT_LNC000460)". Lineage: Eukaryota; Viridiplantae; Streptophyta; Bryopsida; Funariales; Funariaceae. The record is from RNAcentral.